Molecule: ribosomal RNA, 854 nt
Filed under: uncultured bacterium
Lineage: Bacteria
Description: bacterial SSU rRNA
Rfam family: Bacterial small subunit ribosomal RNA
Source: RNAcentral
GGAUCCAGACUUUGAUUCUGGCUCAGGAUGAACGCUGGCGGCGUGCCUAAUACAUGCAAGUCGAACGAAUCUCUUUUAGAGAUGAGUGGCGAACGGGUGAGUAAUACAUAGGUAACCUGCCUCUGUGCGGGGGAUAACAGGAGGAAACUCCUGCUAAUACCGCAUAGCCAUGAGCACCGCAUGGAGCUCAUGCCAAAUAUCCUUUCGGGGAUAGCGCAGGGAUGGACCUAUGGCGCAUUAGCUUGUUGGCGGGGCAACGGCCCACCAAGGCAACGAUGCGUAGCCGGCCUGAGAGGGCGGACGGCCACAUUGGGACUGAGACACGGCCCAGACUCCUACGGGAGGCAGCAGUAGGGAAUUUUCGGCAAUGGGGGGAAACCCUGACCGAGCAACGCCGCGUGAGCGAAGAAGGCCUUCGGGUCGUAAAGCUCUGUUGUAAAGGAAGAACGGCGCAUACAGGAAAUGGUAUGCGAGUGACGGUACUUUACCAGAAAGCCACGGCUAACUACGUGUCAGCAGCCGCGGUAAUACGUAGGUGGCGAGCGUUAUCCGGAAUCAUUGGGCGUAAAGAGGGAGCAGGCGGCCGCAAGGGUCUGUGGUGAAAGACCGAAGCUAAACUUCGGUAAGCCAUGGAAACCGGGCGGCUAGAGUGCGGAAGAGGAUCGUGGAAUUCCAUGUGUAGCGGUGAAAUGCGUAGAUAUAUGGAGGAACACCAGUGGCGAAGGCGACGGUCUGGGCCGCAACUGACGCUCAUUCCCGAAAGCGUGGGGAGCAAAUAGGAUUAGAUACCCUAGUAGUCCACGCCGUAAACGAUGGUCACUAAGUGUCGGGGGUCAAACCCCGGUGCUGCAGUC